CGCACCUUGCGCUCCUGGGUAUUCCCAGGAGCAUGCCUGUUUGAGUGUCAUGAAUCCCUCAAAUCCCAAUGUUUUGCAAAACUCAUUGCUUGGAUUUGGUUAUGGGCCGACUUUGCUACUUCAUUGUUAGCUGGCCUUAAAGACAUUAGCUUGGACUUUCGAACCUUUUCAGAAGGGUCUCCAUAUGAUGUGAUAAAUUUACGUCGAUGGGCUUAAAGACUUUACUGUUGUUAAUGGUUUUGAAAAUGAAUAGUCUAGCUUUCUAACCCGGCGAAGAGUUCCAUCUCUGACCCACUUUUCAUUAACUCUGGCCUCAAAUCAGGUAGGACUACCCGCUGAACUUAA
Molecule: unclassified non-coding RNA, 345 nt
Filed under: Microstroma album
Lineage: Eukaryota; Fungi; Basidiomycota; Exobasidiomycetes; Microstromatales; Microstromataceae
Description: partial contains 5.8S ribosomal RNA, internal transcribed spacer 2, and large subunit ribosomal RNA
Rfam family: 5.8S ribosomal RNA (bases 1-50)
Source: RNAcentral